GCAUUGAUGGUGUAAUGGCAACAUUGCUGUCUUCCACGCGUUUUGAUUGAACAGUUUCUGAUGGAAAUAGUUUAAAGAAACACCUUCAUGGAGACAUAAUUAACAGCAGCCCCGGGUUCGAUUCCCGGUCAAUGCA
Talaromyces proteolyticus is the source of this 136-nucleotide non-coding RNA. Lineage: Eukaryota; Fungi; Ascomycota; Eurotiomycetes; Eurotiales; Trichocomaceae. The record is from the annotation of a RefSeq genome assembly.